UGAAUUUUUAAAGGGCCGCGGUAUUCCUGACCGUGCGAAGGUAGCAUAAUCAUUAGUCUUUUAAUUUGAGGCUCGUAUGAAUGGUCGGACGAGGGAUAAACUGUUUUCAAAUAAAAAUCUUGAAUUUAACUUUUGAGUGAAAAGGCUCAAAUACUUCAAAAAGACGAUAAGACCCUAUAAAUCUUAACACCAAAUUCUAUAUUGUUCUAGAUUAUUAGUGUAAAGAAAAAUAUAGUCAAGAUGUUCUGUUGGGGCAACAAUGAUAUAAAAAGACCAACUGUACUAUCGUUUAAACAAAUAUAAUUGAGUUUUAUAGAUCCUUUUUAAAGAUUAAAAGAUCAAGUUACUUUAGGGAUAACAGCGUUAUUCUUUUUGAGAGUCCACAUCGAAAAAAGAGUUUGCGACCUCGAUGUUGAAUUAAAAAAUCU
RNAcentral lists this ribosomal RNA (428 nucleotides) under Calcinus inconspicuus. Its description in RNAcentral is "partial 16S ribosomal RNA". It matches the Rfam family "Archaeal large subunit ribosomal RNA", at positions 1993 to 2616 of the family's 2987-position model. The record is from RNAcentral. Lineage: Eukaryota; Metazoa; Arthropoda; Malacostraca; Decapoda; Diogenidae.